AACUUUGCACAGUGGCAGUAUCGUAGCCAAUGAGGUUUAUCCGAGGUGCGAUUAUUGCUAAUUGAAAACUUUUCCCAAUACCCCACCAUGAUGACUUGAAAUAUAGUUGGCAUUGGCAAUUUUUGACAGUCUCUAUGGAGA
Molecule: small nuclear RNA, 141 nt
Filed under: Saimiri boliviensis boliviensis (Bolivian squirrel monkey)
Lineage: Eukaryota; Metazoa; Chordata; Mammalia; Primates; Cebidae
Description: U4 spliceosomal RNA (ENSSBOG00000000085.1)
Rfam family: U4 spliceosomal RNA
About the family: U4 small nuclear RNA (U4 snRNA) is a component of the major U2-dependent spliceosome.
Source: Rfam by way of RNAcentral